RNAcentral lists this ribosomal RNA (422 nucleotides) under uncultured bacterium. RNAcentral describes it as "bacterial SSU rRNA". It matches the Rfam family "Bacterial small subunit ribosomal RNA", at positions 359 to 773 of the family's 1533-position model. The record is from RNAcentral.
GAAUAUUGGACAAUGGGGGCAACCCUGAUCCAGCCAUGCCGCGUGUGUGAAGAAGGCCUUUUGGUUGUAAAGCACUUUAAGCAGUGAAGAAGACUCCAUGGUUAAUACCCAUGGACGAUGACAUUAGCUGCAGAAUAAGCACCGGCUACCUCUGUGCCAGCAGCCGCGGUAAUACAGAUGGUGCAAGCGUUAAUCGGAAUUACUUGGCGUAAAGAGAGCGUAGGCGGCUUGAUAAGGCAGUUGUGAAAUCCCCGGGCUUAACCUGGGAACUGCAUCUGAUACUGUUAGGCUAGAAUAGGUGAGAGGAAGGUAGAAUUCCAGGUGUAGCGGUGAAAUGCGUAGAGAUCUGGAGGAAUACCGAUGGCGAAGGCAGCCUUCUGGCAUUAUAUUGACACUGAGGUUCGAAAGCGUGGGUAGCAAAC